UUGGCAUUUCUUAUUAUUUUUUAGUCUGUCUAUUACAAAAAUGGCUGCAAACCGUCGCAAGCAAGACGACAAGAAUUUAGAAAUUUUACGUGAACUUAUAUCUAUUAAUGGAAACAAAUAUUGUUUAGAUUGCAACCAAAGAGGACCUACGUAUGUUAAUGUUACAAUCGGUUCGUUCGUUUGUUCAAAAUGUUCGGGAAUGCUACGUGGUCUGACGCCUCCCCAUCGAGUAAAGUCGAUCUCAAUGGCCACAUUUACCCCGGAAGAGAUAGAAUUUAUAAAAGUGAGAGGAAAUGAUUACUGUAGGCGCGUUUGGUUAGGCCUGUACGAGGGUGAAAGUGUGAACUUUACUGAUGAACAAAGUGUGAAAGAUUUUAUGUCGGACAAAUACGAGAAGAAACGUUACUAUCUCGAGCAGCCGCUGAAUAAUACUGUUACGAACGGAAGUUUAUCAUCGAAGAGUAAGUCAAAAGCCAAAAGCGGAAGUGCUGCAGCGAGCUCAUCACAGCUGAUAUCAAUAGCGAGCCCAGCGCCGAAGUCGACAGUUAACAAUAACACGCUCGGGAAUGCGCCCAAACUGGGAAAUAGCUUUUUCUGUGGAGGUAAUGAUGUCAGCAUGAAGAUAGCUCGGCCGGUGCACAGCAUACCCCAGCCCAACCCGCUCGCGGCGCCGCCCGUCGUCGCCCCUGCUCCAGUACCUGAUUUUCCUGUUGACUUUUCAACUGCAAAUAUUUAUAACAGUAGCCAGUUUAAUAAUAAUGUAAACAACAAUUAUGUGCCGGCCCCAUCCACCACUACAGGUUUUGCAGCUUUCACUCCUCCAUCAUCUACUGCUAAUGAUCGCUAUGCAGCAUUAGCAGAUUUAGAUCAUGCAUUGAGACAGCAAAACAUGAAGUCAAUGGAGGAAGGUAACAAUAUAAAUAGCAAAAAUCCGUUCCAAAGUGCGCCAACCAAUGACUUCUUCGGCAGUAAAAACCCUUUCUUCAAUGGGAGUUGGAGCGCUACUCCGGCGCCUGUGCCUGUUAAUCCUUUCAUGCCUUCUUCUAACACUGGGAACUAUGUUAAUUCGAAGAAUCCUUUUCUUUGAAGAGGUGGUCCAUGUUUUGGAGACGAAAGAACAAAUGUAUGCAACAAAAAGCACAAAAUUAGCUACAAAUUUACUAUAGUAUACAUUUUUAAAUAAUAUAUUAUGUUUUUACAAAUUUCUCGGUGAUAUUAUAUUGGCAUUACAACUAUUUAUCAGUCUUAGAUUAAUGUGCUUAAUUUUAGCAACGGAUGUGCCUCUUUAUGCCUUAACAAGAUGUAAAUUUCUCAGUAUAUAUUAGGCAAGUCAAUGUUGUGAAAGUAUUGUAUUAGUAUGUCUGGUUUAGUUUAAAUCAAUCAAUCAGGAAAUCUGAGUGUGAGCAUGUUGCAAGGCAACUUGCUGUGUCCAAUUUAUUCAAUUUAAAUUGUCCAUUAUGUGGUUAGGAACUGCUCAGUAGGGCCUUAUUAGGAUUGACUGGGGCUAGUUUUUGUAGGUUGGGACAAUUAUGUACCUAUGUAUAAUAUGUAUAUUGUAUACGAUGACGUAAUUCGCGACGCUCUGAUGAUCUUAUCACACCCAACUUGCAGUUUUCGUGCUUUAAUCGUUUUCUCAGCAAAUAUUUGAGAUAUAUUGCAAUUAUUGUACCUAAAGUUAUCGAGCAUAUACUAGGUAUUAAAAGGAAUAUUUCUUUUAAUUAUAUGGGAUAUCCGAUUAAUUUGAAAACAAUUUUGUGGGAUUUUUUUUGAGACAACCCCAUUGCGGUUAUUCUGAGAAAUAAGUAAUAUAAGUAGAUGUAUAAUAUGAAUAAUAAACAUAAAUAAAUGAGGCAGAGACCAUUCCACAUGAGGAGGAAUUUCCUUAAAUUAACUGACAAUCGUAUUGUUUGUAUGCACUUACACAAUCGGUAAAAACGUAACGAUUGGAUGAUUAUUUCAUCCACACAUAAUAUAAAUGCCAAUCUAGUCAGAUUAUGAAUGAAAUUGUGUUCUGAUAACUGUUUGAAGCAGCCGAGUCAUAAUAGAUACGUUGGCGUGAAUAUCAGUGUGUUAAAAUUAGCAGUUUAUAAUAACGUAACUUUACUGUGGCAUAAUCGCUUAUUAUUUCAUUAUAGAAUAAAGAUAAAGGUAUCUAGGAUACUUAUUUCCAGCCAUUGCAUCAUAUUACCAAUAAUGCAGUAAAUUAGUGAGACUACAAAACGAGAUUAGUAUUUAGAUUAGGCAACCAGCUGUGUGUGAUGAGUCAUCGGGCGCGCGGUGCGGCCUUAUUUUCAUAGUCAUGCCCGCCAUGAGGAAGCGAACUUAGUACCUAAAUGUUACUGUUUCCAUCCAAUUCAACGCAUCUACACAUGUUUAUCCUAGGGGUGAUAUUAAUUAAGAAUACGUAGCCGAGAAGUAGGAAGCGACCAAACAUUUCCACACAAAGUAUUUUAGUCAUGUAAAGCUUUUAUCUGGAUGGAUUGUUUAUUUACACAUCAUUAUGAAGUUUUAGAGGCUUAACAUUGUUAUUAUUUUUUAUCAAUUUGUUUCCUGAUUAAUGUCUACGUGUUUAUUAUCAUGAAUUGUUUUAUAUCCGACUAUGCCAUCUUAUCUAGAAUUAUAUAAUUAUAUAUUUCUAUCGUAUAUCAAGUAUUGAUUACUUUUACUGGUUAAAAAAACCAUGACAAAAGUAGGAUAUGUGUUUUUAUAAGAAUCAUUUUUAUGUCGUAUGAUUUGAUUUCAUUUAUGAAUUUAUUGUAUGUUUGGUACUUGACGCCUAAUCAUAUAAGUACCAGCUUCAAUAGUUAUAGCUCACAUCACAUCUAAUCAUAAUUUGUUUCGUCUAAUACAUAUCUGAAGCCGGCUAUCCAUCAACAGACUAUAUAGUGGAAGUUAAUUGUAAUAGGUAUUAUGUAUUUACAUGUAUCUACUAUGAUCAGUUAAACUGAUAAGUGAAGCUUAUAGCUGUACAUUUACAUUUAGCCGGCGUAAACAAGCUCUCAAAUCAUGUGCUUGAUCUGGUCUGUGAUUUAAAUCAGUAACUUUUUUAGUAAUCCUAAUCAUUUAAUUGCGAACAAUCUUUACUUAUCAAUGCACUAUUAUUUAUUAAUUAGUUAUUAAAUUAACGUAUUGUUUUUUAUUUGAGCACCAAGAUCUGUUAUGUUGUAUUAAUGGUGUAAAAAAUAAACACUUAUUUUUUUUAACAA
RNA transcript from Cydia fagiglandana, 3206 nucleotides. It is a transcript of the gene named arf-GAP domain and FG repeat-containing protein 1, with no coding region annotated. The record is from RefSeq and is a predicted model, not a curated record. NCBI's taxonomy places the organism in Eukaryota, Metazoa, Arthropoda, Insecta, Lepidoptera, Tortricidae. The transcript is spliced from 7 exons.